CCUGCAUUUGGCUGCAACCUUGCUGCAGAGGGGGAUUUGGAUUUUUAUGUACACAUUUUUCUGAUUAACGUAGACAACUCUGAAGGCGGCACUCCACUCCCAGGGGCACAAUCAAGGGUCUUUCUGUUGAAGACAGUAAAGGCUGAAUCAGGUCUACAGGUUGAAUCAGGAUGAAGACUGUGCUAGCAUGACUAUGCUGAAUUUUCUCAGGGGCAAACU
Long non-coding RNA from Manacus vitellinus (golden-collared manakin), 219 nucleotides. RefSeq lists it as uncharacterized. NCBI's taxonomy places the organism in Eukaryota, Metazoa, Chordata, Aves, Passeriformes, Pipridae. The transcript has 3 exons. The record is from RefSeq and is a predicted model, not a curated record.